Molecule: small RNA, 895 nt
Filed under: Rattus norvegicus (Norway rat)
Lineage: Eukaryota; Metazoa; Chordata; Mammalia; Rodentia; Muridae
Description: uncharacterized LOC102554346
Source: RNAcentral
AGCCCCGCCGAGCUCCAGGCCACGCCCGUGUCUGAGCCACGCCCCGCUCCAGGCCACGCCCUCCGCUGGUAGGAUCUCUAUUUCGCCUUGGGCGAACUCGGUGUAACGUUGUGGAGCAAAGUACUGUGUGCCCAGGCCUCCAACCGCGUGCCCUACCUCCUCUGCCUUUGGUGGCAAGGUUACACGUCCCGGGAGACCACCUCCUCUAACCUGCUGAAGGUGAGAAUCGGGCCUAAGUGUCGUGGGUGGCCGUGUGAGUGACAACCCAAAGGCUUCCUGAGGAAGCAGAGCUAAAACCAGGGCUUGGCUGAGAGGAGUGUGAUCCAACAGGCCGUGAGGGGAUCCAGACAUGGGGGCAGGUGGCUUCCGGAUCCUGAAAUCAUUAUGCUGAUCAGAUUCACUCAUUCAAAACUAAAAUGGCAGCUAUCGUAGACGAUUCUCCGACUCACACAGAACAACACCUAUGCAGUCUUUCUCUGGAGCAUUCUUCUCCCCUCCACACCAAGAUUUCAACGUUUUCUCACAGGAUCACAAUGGCCUCUAUUCUGAUCAGCCAGACGGAACUUUCCUACCAAGGCAUCCGGAGAUUUGAGAUUGCCAGGACUGUGAGGAGCAACUCAAAUGACAGCGACUGAGAUCUACAGGACUUGAAAGUGCAGACUCUGGACUGAGAUUCUAAUUCCACAGGACUGAGCGGCACAGGGAUCAGCACUUUUAACAUUGAUGUGGGUGGCCUUCGGGUCACGGUUGAGAAACUCUUAAGUUCGAACUUGAAGUUUGCCACCUAGCAGGGGGGAAAAAACAUGAUUAAUAAUAAAACAAAACCAAGCCAAUGGGAAGGAUAAUGCGCUAUACCUGGAGCUGGAUUUCUUCCCUUGGCUGAUGAGAGAUCUUU